Molecule: long non-coding RNA, 271 nt
Filed under: Ananas comosus (pineapple)
Lineage: Eukaryota; Viridiplantae; Streptophyta; Magnoliopsida; Poales; Bromeliaceae
Description: long non-coding RNA (ACOM_LNC013055)
Source: RNAcentral
UUCAAAUAUAGCUCUCUUAUUUUUCUCUGCUAUUCAAAAAUACUCCUACUGUUAGUACCGUUAAGUUAUUUCGGAUUAAAUUCCGAUUAAAUUUCUACCAAAGUUAAAAAAAAAAAAAAAAUUCAAAUGGGUCCUUAGGGUUGAGUGGGUGGUUGGUUUAAUAGUAUAAUCUAACGGAUAAAAAUAAUCUAAAAGUUAAAUCUAACGAUGGAAAGCUCAAUAAUUUUUUGUGCUAUCGAUAGUAUCCUAGCCGGACUCUAUAUAAGUAAUU